This 497-nucleotide ribosomal RNA is filed under the name uncultured bacterium. RNAcentral's name for it is "partial 16S ribosomal RNA". It matches the Rfam family "Bacterial small subunit ribosomal RNA", at positions 28 to 507 of the family's 1533-position model. The record is from RNAcentral.
GACGAACGCUGGCGGCGUGCCUAAUACAUGCAAGUUGAGCGCUGAAGGUUGGUACUUGUACCAACUGGAUGAGCAGCGAACGGGUGAGUAACGCGUGGGGAAUCUGCCUUUGAGCGGGGGACAACAUUUGGAAACGAAUGCUAAUACCGCAUAAAAACUUUAAACACAAGUUUUAAGUUUGAAAGAUGCAAUUGCAUCACUCAAAGAUGAUCCCGCGUUGUAUUAGCUAGUUGGUGAGGUAAAGGCUCACCAAGGCGGUGAUACAUAGCCGACCUGAGAGGGUGAUCGGCCACAUUGGGACUGAGACACGGCCCAAACUCCUACGGGAGGCAGCAGUAGGGAAUCUUCGGCAAUGGACGAAAGUCUGACCGAGCAACGCCGCGUGAGUGAAGAAGGUUUUCGGAUCGUAAAACUCUGUUGGUAGAGAAGAACGUUGGUGAGAGUGGAAAGCUCAUCAAGUGACGGUGACUACCCAGAAAGGGACGGCUAACUACGUG